UCGAACGUUUAAUUUAAUUACUAAUUUUAUUAAAAGUGGUGAACAGGUGAGUAGUAAUUAAUAACCUACCUUAAGGCAGGGGGUAAAUCCCCUCUAUAUAAAAAGGUAAUUUCCGUCUUAAGAAGAAUCGUUAAUUAAAAGAAAUAGGUAGUUGUUAAGGUAAUUACUUAACAAGCCAAGUAUUUUCUUAGUCGAAACUGAAAGGUUGAUCGAUCACAUUGGGAAUGAGAAAAGCCCAAGACAAGUGAGUACAGCAGUGGGGAAUAUUAGUCAAUGGCCUAACGGCUGAACUGGCAACUUGGAGGAAUGGCCUAAAUUAGAGUGAAAUUGGUUAAAUUUUUCUUGUAAAAAUAAAAUUCUGAUUAUAUGUAAUAUAAUGACUAUGUAUUUUUAUGUCUUGACUAAUUACGUGCCAGCAGUCGCGGUAAUACGUAAGAGACUAGUGUUAUUCAUCUUUAAUAGGUUUAAAGGGUACUCAAACGGAAGAAAUUAACUAUAUAAGGUACUAUUUCUAUCUAGAGUUAUAUAAAAAAAAGGUCGAACAUACGGAGUAGGAUUAAAAACCGUAUAUACCUAUAUGGACGGGUAAGGCGAAGGCAACCUUUUAUAAAAUAACUGACGUUGAAGGACGAAGGCUAAGGAAGCGAAAAGGAUUAGAUACCCUUGUAGUCUUAGCAGAAAAUUAUGAAUGCUACUUAUUAAUAUUAUUUAAUUCGUAAAUGAAAAUUUAAGCAUUUCACCUCACGAGUAAUGUGGCAACGCAGGAACUGAAAUCACUAGGCCGUUUUAGACACCAGUAGUGAAGUAUGGAUGAUCCGCGAAAAACCUUACCACAAUUUGAAUUAUUUGUAUAUUCUGUUUUACACAAAUAUAAAUAACGAGUGUUGCACGGCUGUCUUCAGUUGAUGUUGCGAAACUAUGGCUUAAGCCAUGAAAUUGACCAAAACCUUUACUUUAUUUAUUAAUAUAUAUUUUAUAAAGUAUUCCAUCUUGAUAAUAGAUGUUACGUUAGGGACCAAGAUAAGUCAUCAUGACCUUUAUGUUGUGGGCUAUAGACGUGCCACAUUUUCCUAGACAAAAAGAUGCAAAAAUGUAAAUUUAAGCUAAUCUAAAAAAUAGGGUAAAAAAGGAUAUGGAUUAUAGUCUGAAAUUCGACUAUAUGAAUAAGUAAUUACUAGUAAUCGUGAAUCACCAUCGUCACGGUGAAUUUUUAAUCUGAUUGGUACUAACUACUCGUCGCAUGCUGAAAAGAGUACUUACAAAAAGUUUGCUUAUUUAUUAUAAAUAAGUAAAUAAUAGGUUUUAGAUUUUAUAAUAAAU
RNAcentral lists this ribosomal RNA (1320 nucleotides) under Ophiostoma subannulatum. RNAcentral describes it as "SSU rRNA". It matches the Rfam family "Bacterial small subunit ribosomal RNA". The record is from RNAcentral. Lineage: Eukaryota; Fungi; Ascomycota; Sordariomycetes; Ophiostomatales; Ophiostomataceae.